AUGAUGCCUCUACUGGCUCUGAAUUCGAUUCACCAACCAAACCCAAUUCUGUAUGUGUCGAUCCUUCCACCUCAUGGACUUCAUCAAGUUUAAUUUUAUAGGCAUUAGCUCCUCCACCAAGAAACUCCUUUUCCAAAAAGAUUGCCUGGCUGUUGACAAACACCAUUUAUUCUGCAGCGAGAUAGAAGUAGUACCCUUUAGUUUUUUUUGGAUACCCUACGAACAAGCAUCUAUCAAACUUCGGUCCAAGUUUAUUUAUCUUUAAAUGCAUGACAUAAGUUAGACACUCCUAGACCCUA
RNAcentral lists this long non-coding RNA (299 nucleotides) under Elaeis guineensis (African oil palm). Its description in RNAcentral is "long non-coding RNA (EGUI_LNC062162)". Lineage: Eukaryota; Viridiplantae; Streptophyta; Magnoliopsida; Arecales; Arecaceae. The record is from RNAcentral.